UCUUCCCUCACUGGAAAUGCAUCUAAGUGAGAGACAUAGCUGGCCACGUGAAAAGUAGGGCGUUGAAGGAAAAGUCUCCUAUCUACCCUCUCAGGCUUUUUCAUUACUGAAUAAUGGAGGAAGGGAAGAAACUUUCUGCCUUUCUGCUUACCCCUGUACGAAUUCACAGGAACACAGCUGCCAAAAGUGCAGGCAAAGAACCCUGGCUGAGCUGUCAUCAAAAGGAGUUGCUUAAGAAAACCCAUUGA
This 248-nucleotide long non-coding RNA is filed under the name Calidris pugnax (ruff). Its description in RNAcentral is "lncRNA (ENSCPUG00000006157.1)". The record is from RNAcentral. Lineage: Eukaryota; Metazoa; Chordata; Aves; Charadriiformes; Scolopacidae.